This 608-nucleotide ribosomal RNA is filed under the name uncultured bacterium. RNAcentral describes it as "bacterial SSU rRNA". It matches the Rfam family "Bacterial small subunit ribosomal RNA", at positions 338 to 951 of the family's 1533-position model. The record is from RNAcentral.
CCUACGGGAGGCAGCAGUGAGGAAUAUUGGACAAUGGGCGCAAGCCUGAUCCAGCCAUGCCGCGUGCAGGAAGAAGCAUCUAUGGUGUGUAAACUGCUUUUGUACAGGAAGAAACACUCCCUCGUGAGGGAGCUUGACGGUACUGUAAGAAUAAGGACCGGCUAACUCCGUGCCAGCAGCCGCGGUAAUACGGAGGGUCCGAGCGUUAUCCGGAAUCAUUGGGUUUAAAGGGUCCGUAGGCGGUUUAAUAAGUCAGUGGUGAAAUCUGGUCGCUCAACGAUCAAACGGCCAUUGAUACUGUUAGACUUGAAUUAUAAGGAAGUAACUAGAAUAUGUAGUGUAGCGGUGAAAUGCUUAGAUAUUACAUGGAAUACCAAUUGCGAAGGCAGGUUACUACUUAUGGAUUGACGCUGAUGGACGAAAGCGUGGGGAGCGAACAGGAUUAGAUACCCUGGUAGUCCACGCCGUAAACGAUGGAUACUAGCUGUUCGGAGCAAUCUGAGUGGCUAAGCGAAAGUGAUAAGUAUCCCACCUGGGGAGUACGUUCGCAGAAUGAACUCAAAUGAAUUGACGGCUGAGACGNGCGAGGACGACGACGAGGGAGGAGG